Molecule: ribosomal RNA, 257 nt
Filed under: uncultured bacterium
Lineage: Bacteria
Description: partial 16S ribosomal RNA
Rfam family: Bacterial small subunit ribosomal RNA
Source: RNAcentral
GCAAGUCGAGGGGCAGCACGUUAAAGAGUUUACUCUUUAUGGUGGCGACCGGCGGACGGGUGCGUAACGCGUAUGCAACCCGCCUGACACAGGGGGUUAAUCAGAAGAAAUGUGGUCUAAUACCCCUUAAUACCGAUAUCGGCAUCUAUGUUGGUUGAAAGCUCUGGUGGUGUCAGAUGGGCAUGCGUUGUAUUAGCUAGUUGGUGAGGUAACGGCUCACCAAGGCGACGAUACAUAGGGGGACUGAGAGGUUAACC